GGAUGUGAGGGCGAUUGACUGUGACAUCUGUUACCUCACUGAGCUAACAGGGUUGAUCAACUGAUCUGGCUGGCUAGGUGGGUGUCCCUUCCUCCCUCACGAUCCCCUGAGUGUCCCUCCCAAAGCUUGGUUGAAGAGCACAACCUUCCCUGAAUAGUGAUGGUAUGUGAGGAUACACCAGUGGCUGUGCUCUCCUGCUUCUUCUUCUUCUAGUGUUUGCCCUUCUUCCGUAGCCAGUCAACAGCGUCAGGUUGAGCCUGAUGUAAAGUUUCGAGACCUCCUUUGAAUCUGGAGAGGUGGCAGUCGUUGACUAUGUGGGUCAUAGUCU
Erinaceus europaeus (western European hedgehog) is the source of this 328-nucleotide unclassified non-coding RNA. Its record names the gene 7SK. It matches the Rfam family "7SK RNA". From Rfam's summary of the family: 7SK was discovered as an abundant small nuclear RNA in the mid-70s but a possible function has only recently been suggested. Two independent studies have found that 7SK RNA binds the CDK9/cyclin T complex (known as elongation factor P-TEFb). NCBI's taxonomy places the organism in Eukaryota, Metazoa, Chordata, Mammalia, Eulipotyphla, Erinaceidae. The record is from Ensembl.